CACCUGGAGUAGACAACAGGGAUUGCCCCAGUAACGGCGAGUGAAGCGGCAACAGCUCAAAUUUGAAAUCUGGCCUCCGGGUCCGAGUUGUAAUUUGUAGAGGAUGCUUUUGGCGAGGUGCCUUCCGAGUUCCCUGGAACGGGACGCCAUAGAGGGUGAGAGCCCCGUCUGGUCGGACACCGAGCCUCUGUAAAGCUCCUUCGACGAGUCGAGUAGUUUGGGAAUGCUGCUCAAAAUGGGAGGUAUAUGUCUUCUAAAGCUAAAUAUUGGCCAGAGACCGAUAGCGCACAAGUAGAGUGAUCGAAAGAUGAAAAGCACUUUGAAAAGAGGGUUAAAAAGUACGUGAAAUUGUUGAAAGGGAAGCGCCUAUGACCAGACUUGGGCCCGGUGAAUCAUCCAGCGUUCUCGCUGGUGCACUUUGCCGGGCACAGGCCAGCAUCAGUUUGGCGCGGGGGAUAAAGGUUUUGGGAAUGUGGCUCCCUCGGGAGUGUUAUAGCCCAUUGCGUAAUACCCUGCGCCGGACUGAGGUACGCGCAUCGCAAGGAUGCUGGCGUAAUGGUCAUCAGCGACCCGUCUUGAAACACGGACCAAGGAGUCGUCUUCGUAUGCGAGUGUUCGGGUGUCAAACCCCUACGCGUAAUGAAAGUGAACGCAGGUGAGAGCUUCGGCGCAUCAUCGACCGAUCCUGAUGUUCUCGGAUGGAUUUGAGUAAGAGCAUACGGGGCCGGACCCGAAAGAAGGUGAACUAUGCCUGUAUAGGGUGAAGCCAGAGGAAACUCUGGUGGAGGCUCGCAGCGGUUCUGACGUGCGAAUCGAUCGUCAAAUAUGGGCAUGGGGGCGAAAGACUAAUCGAACCUUCUAGUAGCUGGUUUCCGCCGAAGUUCUCCCCCUCAGGAA
Molecule: ribosomal RNA, 897 nt
Filed under: Samsoniella erucae
Lineage: Eukaryota; Fungi; Ascomycota; Sordariomycetes; Hypocreales; Cordycipitaceae
Description: partial large subunit ribosomal RNA
Rfam family: Eukaryotic large subunit ribosomal RNA
Source: RNAcentral